AGUAACGCGUAGGUAAUCUACCCUUAUAUUUGGGAUAACAUUGGGAAACUGGUGCUAAUACCGAAUGGUCUUCAUUGCUUUGGGGCGAUGGAGUAAAGGUGGCCUCUUUAUGAAAGCUACCGUGUAGGGAUGAGCCUGCGUACCAUUAGCUAGUAGGUGGGGUAAUGGCCCACCUAGGCUACGAUGGUUAGCGGGUCUGAGAGGAUGAUCCGCCACACUGGAACUGGAACACGGACCAG
Molecule: ribosomal RNA, 239 nt
Filed under: uncultured bacterium
Lineage: Bacteria
Description: partial 16S ribosomal RNA
Rfam family: Bacterial small subunit ribosomal RNA
Source: RNAcentral